RNAcentral lists this transfer RNA (55 nucleotides) under Uncinaria sanguinis. RNAcentral describes it as "tRNA-Thr". Lineage: Eukaryota; Metazoa; Nematoda; Chromadorea; Rhabditida; Ancylostomatidae. The record is from RNAcentral.
GCUAUUUUAGUUUAGUUUAGAAUUUGUAACUUGUAAUUACAAGGUUUGUUUAGCA